This 24-nucleotide microRNA is filed under the name Prunus persica (peach). Its description in RNAcentral is "microRNA miRNA_109". The record is from RNAcentral. Lineage: Eukaryota; Viridiplantae; Streptophyta; Magnoliopsida; Rosales; Rosaceae.
GGGACUAAUAGUGCAACACAACAC